CGAAGGAGUGGCGAACGGGUGAGUAAUACAUAAGCAACCUACCCACGAAGACUGGGAUAAUCUCUGGAAACGGGGACUAAUACCGGAUAGGUAAUCGGAAGGCAUCUUCUGGUUAUUAAAGGUUAAAAACACUGGUGGAUGGGCUUAUGGCGCAUUAGUUAGUUGGUGAGGUAACGGCCCACCAAGACGAUGAUGCGUAGCCGGCCUGAGAGGGUGAACGGCCACAUUGGGACUGAGACACGGCCCAGACUCCUACGGGAGGCAGCAGAG
RNAcentral lists this ribosomal RNA (270 nucleotides) under uncultured Solobacterium sp. RNAcentral's name for it is "partial 16S ribosomal RNA". It matches the Rfam family "Bacterial small subunit ribosomal RNA", at positions 88 to 354 of the family's 1533-position model. Lineage: Bacteria; Bacillati; Bacillota; Erysipelotrichia; Erysipelotrichales; Erysipelotrichaceae. The record is from RNAcentral.